Molecule: ribosomal RNA, 468 nt
Filed under: uncultured bacterium
Lineage: Bacteria
Description: partial 16S ribosomal RNA
Rfam family: Bacterial small subunit ribosomal RNA
Source: RNAcentral
GACGAACGCUGGCGGCGUGCUUAACACAUGCAAGUCGAACGGAAAGGCCCUGCUUUUGUGGGGUGCUCGAGUGGCGAACGGGUGAGUAACACGUGAGUAACCUGCCCUUGACUUUGGGAUAACUUCAGGAAACUGGGGCUACUACCGGAUAGGAGCUCCUGUUGCAUGGUGGGGGUUGGAAAGUUUCGGCGGUUGGGGAUGGAUUCGCGGCUUAUCAGCUUGUUGGUGGGGUAGUGGCUUACCAAGGCUUUGACGGGUACCCGGCCUGAGAGGGUGACCGGCGACAUGGGGACUGAGAUACGGCCCAGACUCCUACGGGAGGCAGCAGGGGGGAAUAUUGCACAAUGGGCGGAAGCCUGAUGCAGCAACGCCGCGGGCGGGAUGACGGCCUUCGGGUUGUAAACCGCUGUCGCCUGUGACGAAGCGUGAGUGACGGUAAUGGGUAAAGAAGCACCGGCUAACUACGUG